Ochotona princeps (American pika) is the source of this 115-nucleotide ribosomal RNA. The record is from Ensembl. Lineage: Eukaryota; Metazoa; Chordata; Mammalia; Lagomorpha; Ochotonidae.
GUCUACGGCCAUACCACCCUGAACGCGCCCGAUCUCGUCUGAUCUCGGAAGCUAAGCAGGGUCGGGCCUGGUUAGUACUUGGAUGGGAGCAAUACUAGACCCUGGCAACAAGAUU